CUACUGGAAACGGUAGCUAAUACCGCAUAACGUCGCAAGACCAAAGAGGGGGACCUUCGGGCCUCUUGCCAUCGGAUGUGCCCAGAUGGGAUUAGCUAGUAGGUGGGGUAACGGCUCACCUAGGCGACGAUCCCUAGCUGGUCUGAGAGGAUGACCAGCCACACUGGAACUGAGACACGGUCCAGACUCCUACGGGAGGCAGCAGUGGGGAAUAUUGCACAAUGGGCGCAAGCCUGAUGCAGCCAUGCCGCGUGUAUGAAGAAGGCCUUCGGGUUGUAAAG
Molecule: ribosomal RNA, 281 nt
Filed under: Enterobacter hormaechei
Lineage: Bacteria; Pseudomonadati; Pseudomonadota; Gammaproteobacteria; Enterobacterales; Enterobacteriaceae
Also listed under: 1 other name
Description: partial 16S ribosomal RNA
Rfam family: Bacterial small subunit ribosomal RNA
Source: RNAcentral